This 259-nucleotide ribosomal RNA is filed under the name uncultured Gardnerella sp. RNAcentral's name for it is "partial 16S ribosomal RNA". It matches the Rfam family "Bacterial small subunit ribosomal RNA", at positions 98 to 354 of the family's 1533-position model. The record is from RNAcentral. Lineage: Bacteria; Bacillati; Actinomycetota; Actinomycetes; Bifidobacteriales; Bifidobacteriaceae.
CGGAACGGGUGAGUAAUGCGUGACCAACCUGCCCCAUGCUCCAGAAUAGCUCUUGGGAAACGGGUGGUAAUGCUGGAUGCUCCAACUUGACGCAUGUCUUGUUGGGAAAGNGUUUAGUGGCAUGGGAUGGGGUCGCGUCCUAUCAGCUUGUAGGCGGGGUAAUGGCCCACCUAGGCUUCGACGGGUAGCCGGCCUGAGAGGGCGGACGGCCACAUUGGGGACUGAGAUACGGCCCAGACUCCUACGGGAGGCAGCAGAC